UCCUACGGGUGGCUGCAGUGGGGAAUAUUGGACAAUGGGGGCAACCCUGAUCCAGCCAUGCCGCGUGUGUGAAGAAGGCCUUCGGGUUGUAAAGCACUUUAAGCGGGGAGGAAGGCUCGGCGGCUAAUACCCGUCGGGAUUGACGUUACCCGCAGAAUAAGCACCGGCAAACUUCGUGCCAGCAGCCGCGGUAAUACGAAGGGUGCGAGCGUUAAUCGGAAUUACUGGGCGUAAAGCGCGCGUAGGUGGUUUGUGAAGCGACAUGUGAAAUCCCCGGGCUUAACCUGGGAACUGCAUGUCGAACUGGCAGGCUAGAGUAUGGUAGAGGGGUGUGGAAUUUCCGGUGUAGCGGUGAAAUGCGUAGAUAUCGGAAGGAACAUCAGUGGCGAAGGCGACACCCUGGACCGAUACUGACACUGAGGCGCGAAAGCGUGGGUAGCGAACAGGAUUAGAUACCCGGGUAGUCU
RNAcentral lists this ribosomal RNA (467 nucleotides) under uncultured Halomonadaceae bacterium. RNAcentral's name for it is "bacterial SSU rRNA". It matches the Rfam family "Bacterial small subunit ribosomal RNA", at positions 337 to 796 of the family's 1533-position model. The record is from RNAcentral. Lineage: Bacteria; Pseudomonadati; Pseudomonadota; Gammaproteobacteria; Oceanospirillales; Halomonadaceae.